This 540-nucleotide ribosomal RNA is filed under the name uncultured bacterium. RNAcentral's name for it is "partial 16S ribosomal RNA". The record is from RNAcentral.
GUUAAUAGCAAAUCCGACUUCAUGGGGUCGGGUUGCAGACCCCAAUCUGAACUGGGGCCGGUUUUGGGGGUUUGCCGGGCCUCGCGGCCAAGCUUCCCUUUGUGCCGGCCAUUGUAGCACGUGUGCAGCCCCGGAUGUAAGGGCCAUACUGACUUGACGUCAUCCCCACCUUCCUCCCGUGUGAACGGGCAGUCUGUCCAGAGUUCCCGCCUUUGCGCGCUGGCAACUGGACACAGGGGUUGCGUUCGUUGCUGGACUUAACCAAACACCUCACGGCACGAACUGACGACAGCCAUGCAGCACCUGUGUGGCACCCUCGAAGGAGGCCUACUUUCAUAGGCCGUGCAGCCACAUGUCAAACCCGGGUAAGGUUCUUCGCGUUGCAUCGAAUUAAGCCACAUGCUCCUCUGCUUGUGCGGGCCCCCGUCAAUUUCUUUGAGUUUUAACCUUGCGGCCGUACUCCCCAGGCGGCACACUUAACGCGUUAGCUCCGGGACGGGGGGGGUGGAAAUCCCCCCACCCCAAGUGUGCACCGUUUAA